AAGUUAUACUUAAUUAUUUUGUAAUUUAUUUUUAUUUCAUUGUAAGGAUCUACUGUUCAAUAAAAUUAUAAAGAAAUUGCAGCAUGUGCAGUGAGAAAGUACGACGAAAAGAAUACUUUGUUUGUUUGUGUUUUUGUACAUAGUAUCAUGUUCUGCAUAUAUUACCACAAAUCGAUUAUGAUAUAUUUUCAGCGAUCCUACUAAAAAAAUGGAUAAGCAUAUCAUAUAUGCUUUUGCUCCCCACUCUGUUUUACGUAUUAGCAUUAGAUGGGCAUCAACACUAAACUGGCCUUAAACAAACUUUGCAAAUCACAGAGCAAUGGCCGAUGGAGUGCAGAUUAUAACUGUAUUAUCUUCUGUUUAAUUUAACAGUAGGUUCUUAUGGUAAAACAAAAUUAAAAUAAUAGAACAUUUAUUAAGUGCAACUUUUUGAACCAUAGGAUGGCAAAAUAAAAAUACGCUAAAAUAAGAAGGGGCAAAUUAUAG
RNAcentral lists this long non-coding RNA (486 nucleotides) under Ananas comosus (pineapple). Its description in RNAcentral is "long non-coding RNA (ACOM_LNC040364)". The record is from RNAcentral. Lineage: Eukaryota; Viridiplantae; Streptophyta; Magnoliopsida; Poales; Bromeliaceae.